This 141-nucleotide ribosomal RNA is filed under the name Candelaria sp. O43. Its description in RNAcentral is "5.8S ribosomal RNA". It matches the Rfam family "5.8S ribosomal RNA". From Rfam's summary of the family: 5.8S ribosomal RNA (5.8S rRNA) is a component of the large subunit of the eukaryotic ribosome. It is transcribed by RNA polymerase I as part of the 45S precursor that also contains 18S and 28S rRNA. Lineage: Eukaryota; Fungi; Ascomycota; Candelariomycetes; Candelariales; Candelariaceae. The record is from RNAcentral.
AUCUCUUGGUUCUGGCAUCGAUGAAGAACGCAGCGAAAUGCGAUAAGUAAUGUGAAUUGCAGAAUUCAGUGAAUCAUCGAAUCUUUGAACGCACAUUGCGCCUCUUGGUAUUCCAGGAGGCAUGCCUGUUCGAGCGUCAUU